GGUUCAUCUCAAACCUCGUGCCUUACGGUGGAAACCUGUUCAGGCACCAAAACAAAUAAAUGAACGAAAUUUUCUACCCCAAUUUUCACUAGGAAAAUUUUGUGAGUUAGUUGUAAUAAAAAUCUAAACUAUUUCUUUAUUGAAAGCAAUAAAAUCAGGAUUAUGCAUCCUUCGGAAAAAGUGAUUAGGGAGUGGAGCCCAAUAUCUAUAAUGAAAUCAACUAGGGAAUGGAGACCCUGUGUUGGAAAAAUGACUAGGGAGUGGAGACCCUAUGCCUAAAAUUAACAUCAAAUAGGGAGUGGAGACCCUAUGUCAGAAAGGUGACUAGGGAGUGGAUAUCCUAUGUUGGAAAAGCAGGCUAGGGAGUGGGGACCAUAUGCCUAAAAUAAAUCAACUCGGGAGUGGAGACCCUAUGUUGAAAAAUAAGACUAGGGAGUGGAGACUCUAUGCCUAAAAUAAAUUCAACUAAGGAAUGGAGACCCUAUGGUGAAAAAGCGACUAGAGAGUGGAGAACCUAUGUCUAAAAUAAAUCCAACUAGGAAGUGGAGAACCUAUGUCUAAAAUAAAUCCAACUAGGAAGUGGAGACCCUAUGUCGGAAAAGCGACUAGGGAGUGGAGACUCUAUGUUGGAAAAUCAUACUAGGGAAUAGAGACCCUAUUCCUAAAAUAAAUUCAACUAGGGAGUGUAGACCCUAUGUUGGAAAAGUGAAUAGGGAGUGGAGACCAUAUGUCUAAAAUAACUUCAACUAGGGAAUGGAGACCCUAUGUUAGAAAAGCAUACUAUGGAGUGGAGACCCUAUUCCUAAAACAAAUUCAACUAGGGAGUAGAGACCAUAUGCCUAAAAUAAAAUCAACUAGAGAGUGGAGACCCUAUGUUGGACAAGCAGACUAGAGAGUGGAAACUUUAUGUCUAAAAUAAAAUCAACUAGGGAGUGGAGACCAUAUGUUGGAAAAAACAUAACUAGAGAUUAGGGACCCUAGGCUACCAUGUUUUUGAAUUUUCUUCUAUUUUUUAUUUUUUUUAAAUUUUAUUUAAGAAAAUUGAGUAGGAAUACAGGAAAGAAGUUGGAAGAGACUUCCUUUUUGGAUUGGUUAUUGCUGCAAAAUUGUUUCUAGCCCUUGUGCAGUUUCUUUUGGUUGCACCUGCUUCUUGCAAGGUUGCGUUGGAUUGCACCUGUUUCAUGUUUUCAAACAAAGAAAAAUUAUUAGUUUGAAACGGUGGUUGGUUUUGUGGCCUUGAUUGUAUUGAUUUUGUCCCAACUCUUUUGAUGAAAACCUCUAUUGCUCGCUGGAUUUCUAGAGAUUAAUCUUGACUUUCCAAUAUUUCAUAUGAUGUUUCACUCUUGUGGGGCUUUGGCCAUUUCAUCUCAUUUCUCCUUCGUGGACACUUGAUUUUGGAUUUCUUUCUUUUUCAAUAAUUUUGACACUAAAGCAUCGACCAUCAUGGCCAGUCGAGAUCGAUUUGAUAUACCUGUUGAGGCUGGGUGCUUUCGUUUGAAUUUAGCUUUUGUUAAUCAGAACCCCGCAAACCAAUCUUGCCAUAUUUUCUUUGUAUUAGUUUCAGAGGAGGAUUAAACCGCAAGGUAUUCAAACAAAAGUAAACAAAGGACAAGAUAAUGAAUUUAACAAGAAGUGUCCCUUUUGGGGAAGAAGAAAGAAAGACUUAUCUGGAGUGCAUGCAGACUUCAAUAGAUACGACAUGCUUCUUGGAAUGGAUACCCGAUCUGCAACCAUCCAAUAUCUCAUAAACCCACCAUAACUCGUGUUUUAAAAUCAAGAAACCUCGUCAGGACUUUAUCAGUGCCGAUGGUUGUAAGGGAUUCCUUCUUUUCGAUCAAUGGCGCCCUUUGCGGGUUUUCGCGAAUUGACCUCUCUCAUUUAUCUUCUUAUCAUUGUCUUAUAGUGCUCUUUGCGAGUUUUCACUAACAAGACUCUCUCAUUUUCAGUUUCUCUACUCAUAGUCGCCUUACAAUGCUCGUGUGGAUUUUUUCACCAACAAGACUCUCUUAUUUUAUUUCUCUCAUUUUGAUCACAUCCGAUCCAAGUAGAUGCAUUCUCCAAUCCUUGAAAAUUAUCACCAAUUGAUCAGAAGGACUUUAACAAGGUUUAGGGUAAAAGGAAUUUGUAUUGAAUUACAACUUUGGAACCUUUCAGGCGACUCUAGCCGAACAAUUAUAAAUUAUAUCCCAGUUUCAACUUUUGGGGAAAUGUGUAUUUUUAUUUUGGUAUGACUGAACCCUAGAGAGAAGCUGCCUACGUAUCCUUUUGGAAUCAAGUCGAGCAGUUCAUGGAUACGUUGUUUUUUAUUUUAAUUGAUUUUUUAAUAAACAUUUUUGGGUUCCACGGGGGGUAAUCAAAGAAAAGUAACUGACUCAAAGGGUUAGCAAAAUGUUGAAGUAUUUGGGGUAGCGAGAAAAAGCCUUCGUCAUCCCAAUUGGUCAAUAUUGGUAUCUCAGAAGGAUUAAACAUAAUACCUUUUGAGCGCAUCUGCAUUGACAACUUCUUCAGGAAUUUCCUUCAAUGUCUCCCAAGUAUAAUUCCCCUUUCGGCAACAAUUUUCUUAUGAAGUAUGAGCCCUUCCAGUUAGGAGUGAACUUUCCUUUUGCUUCUUGGUGAUGCGGUAGAAUACGUCUCAAAUCUAGUUAUUCCACUUCAAAGUUUCUGGGCCACACUUUUUUGUUGUACGCACGGGCCAUUCUUUGUUGAUACAACUGCCUAUGGCAAACUGCGGCAAUCGAUUUUUCAUAAAUCAGGGUUAGUUAUUCUAGACGGGUCUUGACCUAUUCACUGUUCUCAUUCUCAGACUUUGAUGAUGAUUCGGAGAGAAGGAAUUUCAACUUCUGCGGGUAUUACGGCUUCAGUGCCAUAAACCAAUAGAUAGGAAAUUUCUCCAACUUAUGUGCGCACAGUUGUGUGAUAUCCCAACAAUGCAAACGACAACUUUUCAUGCCAUUGUCUAGAAGUUUGGAUCAUCGUCCUAAGAAUCUUCUUGAUGUUCUUGUUUGUUGCUUCGACGACACCAUUAGCUUUGGGCCGAUAAGGGGUAGAAUUUUGAUGCAUGAUCUUGAAUUGUUCGCACACCUACCUUAUUAAAUGACUAUUCAUAUUUUCAGCAUUGUUUGUAGUGAUAGUUGUAGAAAUACCAAAACGACAGAUGAUGUCGAAGUGAAAAAAGUCUACCACUGCUUUCUUAGUGUUGGCUUUGAGGGUGAUUGCUUCAACCCAUUUUGUGAAGUAGUCAAUGGAAACCAAUAUGAAGCUAUUCCCAUUUGAAGCUUUUAGAUCGAUUGGCCCAAUGACAUCCAUGCACCAAGCAACGAACGACCACGGUGCUAACAUAGGAUGCAGUUCUGAAGGUGGUGGAUGAAUCAGGUCACUGUGUACCUGACACUGAUGAUACUUUCAGAAAAAACUGAAGCAAUCCUUUUCCAUAACCAUCUAAUAUUAACCUAGUCACAUGAUUUUCUUUGCAAGGACGUAUCCAUUCAUAUGAGGUCCGCACACUCUUGCGUGUACUUCAUUCAUGAUUCUUCUGGACUCUUGGGCAUCCACAUAUCUUAAAAGGUUCAAAUCUAGAGUCCUUUUGUACAAGAACUCUCCGCUCAAGAAGAAGCCAAUGGCAAGCCUUGUAAUGGUUCUCUUUUGAUCUCUACUAGCUUGCUCGGGAUAUUCUUUUGUUUUCAAGAAUCUUUUGAUAUCAUGAUACCAUGGCUGAACAUCAGGCUCUAUCUCUACUGUGUUGUAAUAACCAUGCCUUUCUUGAAUUUGGACUUCCAAUGGGUCAAUGUGGACAUUUCCUAGAUAUGGCAAGAUUGAGGCCAAAAUAGCUAGUGCGUCAUCUAACUCAUUGUGAAACCGCGGAAUGUACCUGAACUCGACGGACUUGAAAUUCUUGCUAAGAUCUUCCACAUGUUGCCUGUAUGGAAUAAGCUUGACAUCCCGAGUUUCCCAUUCACCCUGAGCUUGUUGGAUAAUCAAGUCUGAAUUUCCCAUGAUUAAUUAUUCUUCCACAUCGUGGUAAACCGCAAUGUUCAUGCCCAUGAUGCAGGCUUCAUAAUGUUGUUUUUGUUGGAAAAUCGAAGUCACGUUGUGCCAGGAUAGUGCUAAAUUUCCCCAAUCCCGACACAUUUUGCAUUCAAAGCUCCAUCGAAGAACACUUUUCAAGCAUUGGUGUCUUCCGAAAUUACCUCGACUGAAUUUAAUUCCUCGUCCGGAAAUUAAGUACUCAGAGGCUGAUAUUCAUUAUAAAUAUGAUUUACAGCUGGGUGAUCUACUAAAUCUUGGACUUUUAUUGACGUGUGGGUGAAAUAGACUAUGACAAACUCGAUGAGCACGAUUUGCCAUUUUGCUAAUCUCCCCAUGGGCAUCAGCUUUUAGAAUAUGUAUUUCAAAGGAUCCUUCCUGAUGAUGAGAUAAGUUGUGUAGGCCAACCAGUAAUGCCUUAGCUUCUGAGCGGCCCAAGUCCUUUCCAACAAAGCGUAUUUGGCUUCAUAACAGGUGAACUUCUUGCUCAGAUAGUAUACUGCCUGUUCUUUCUUCCCGAUCGCAUCAUGUUGCCCGAGAACGCAUCCAAAGGAAUACUCCUACACUGUCAAAUACAAAAAUAAAACCUUCCAGUUUUGGGUGGGACCAAGACUAGUAGAUUCGACAGAUAUUCUUUGAUUUUGUCGAAAGCUUCCUGACAUCCAUCCGUCCAUCUAAUCGCCACAUCUUUCUUCAAAAGCUUAAGUAUGGGUUCACAUGUGGAAGUUAACUGAGCAAUGAACCGGUUGAUAUAAUUCAGCCUUCCCAAAAGACUCAUAACCUCUUUCUUGGUUCUCGGAGGAUGAAAAUCCUAAAUAAACUUUAUCUUUUUUGGAUAAAUCCUAAGAGUUUCCUAGACGCAACUCCAAAUGCACAUUUAGCUGGAUUUAAAUUCAAGUCAUACUUACGCAGACGCUUAAAGAACUUUCUCAAAUCUCGAACAUGGUCGUCCUGCGUUCUAGAUUUAAUGAUCACAUCAUCCAUAUAAACCUUGAUUUCUUGAUGCAUCAUGUCAUAAAAAAUGGCAGUCAUAGCCCUCAUAUAAGUUGUCCCGACGUUCUUCAAACUAAAAGGCAUGGCCCUGUAACAAUAUGUGCCCCAGGGUGUGGUAAAGGUUGUCUUUUUUGCAUCUUCUUCAUCCAUCAAGACUUGAUUAAAUCCAACAUAAAAAUCAACAAAAAACUGUAUCUCAUAUUUAGCACACUUGUCAACAAGGAUGUGGAUGAUUAGCAAAGGGAAGUUUUCUUUGGGACUUGCUUUGUUCAAAUCCCGAUAGUCAACACACACUAGGGUUUGUCCGUCUCUCUUUGGCACUGGGACCACAUUAGCCAACCAUGUGGUGUAACGAACCACUCGGAUCACACACACUUUUAGCUGUUUGGUGACCUCUUCUUCGAUUUUGGCAUUGAUGUCAGUUUUAAACUUUCUCUGCUUUUGUUAGACUGGAGGAUAUUGGGGUAAGUUUGCAAUUUGUGUACCACUAAAUCAACACCCAAUCCUGGCAUAUCAUCAUAAUACUAGGCAAACACGUCUUUGAAUUCGAACAAAAGUUGGAUCAAUGCAUCCCUAGUUCUUUCAUCAGUGUGAAUGCUUAUCAUGGUUUCCCGGGCCUCUUCUGAACUACCCAAAUUAACUAGCUUAGUUUCAUUUAAGUUUUGUCUUAGGCUUAUUCUCGGAUUGUACUAAUUCUCAGUUUAUUCCCCUCAAAGCCUCAUCUUCAUCGUAUUCCAGUUCUUGACUCAUUAUUUCACAAUUGGACAGCGUGCUAGGAUCUGGGCAUGAAGUCCACAAACAUGUCAUGUUAUUUAAGUCUGCAUUAUUAGAACUGAAAAUAAGAAAUAAGAAAAGUAACAAAAUCAAAAAGAAUAAAGAAAGAGAUUCAUAGACGAUGAUAUGUUGAUUUCAUUUCAUUGAACUUGAAGAUAUAAGGGUUUAUAUUGGAUUUCUAAAGACAAUAAACCAAAAGAAACAUUCGAGUUACACCAUGGAAUAAUUCAUAAUGCAGAAAAAGUGGCAAGACUGGAUUACCGAGAUUCCCGCCUGACUGGGAAUGGAGUAGUUUUCCAAUUUUGCAGCUUGGCAUCGAGCCCCAUAAAUUUCAACUCAGCAGUGCUCGAACCUUCACCCGGCUGGACCAUAUGAGCUUCAUACAUUUGCCUCAUGGCUCCGCAUAUGUCCUCAAUUUCCUCGGCCGUGAAGGCCUUACUUUCUUCUUCUUCAGUGUACUUCGGCUUGACAAAUGUCUUGGAGAGAUCCGGGAUCGACCGAGGAAACACCCAACCAUUGCUCUUUCAUUCAUUUACCUAUGUCACAUCAACUUCUGUAGCGUGAAAUCCCACACCGAAAAACUUCUUGCUGGCAGCUAAAGUGAUUGGCUCUGUGAUACCUUGCAAAGAUACACUAAGCCCUUCUCGGUCUUAUACCCGUGUUUGAUCAUUUCAAUAGAGACCAUGAUUGAUGCAUUUGACAAAAACAUUUGAGGACAUGGGCUCCCUUCCUCAUAUUGAUUUGCGACUACAACCUCAAAAUCUUGAUAGAUUAUGUGCUUGCUACCUUCCCUAGUCUCGAGAUACGCGAUUUACAAGUCCUGUUAAUUGAUUGCUUUUCCUCUCCAUGAACCACAAUUUCCUGAUCUUCCUGUUCAAAGUUUACCAUUUGGUGAAGAGUAGAAGGUACGACCCCUGCAGCAUGGAUCCACGACCUUCCUAAGAGUAAAUUACAGGAGGUAUCCAUGUACAACACCUGAAAUGUCACCUUGAAAUUCACAUGACAGAUAGUCAAUAUCAAAUCAAUCUCCUUAUUGUGCCUAUCUUGAUGCCAUUGAAAGGACAAACUAACAUUGUUAGGCCUAAUUCUCUCAGUCCCAAUCUCCAUUCUUUGCAAAGUUGAGAGAGGGCAUAGAUCGACCCCUAAUCCGCAUUCCACCAUGACUCUUUUAAUAUAGUACCCUUCACACUUAACUGUCAGAUGAAGAGCUUUGUUGUGGGAAUCCCCUUCUAGGGGUAAGUCAUUUUUACUAAAUGAAAUCCGGUUGACUUCAAAGAAUUAUUUCGCCAUCCUUUCAGUUGCUCGACAGUGGUUUCAAUCAGAACAUAUGCUUCAUUCAGGGUAUUUGUCAAAUCUUUCUGAUGUUCAGUCGAGCUUAUCAACAGAGAUAAGAGCCAGACCUGAGAGGGGGAUUUCUGGAGUUAUUCAAUUACCUCACAGUCCGCAGUUUCCAUUUUUCAAAAGAAUUCCUCUACUUCUUCGGCACUGACUAGAUUAUUAAGCGGAAAAUGCUUCUGCUUAGCAUUGUUCACUUCUUCCAGAUUGAGGUACUUACCAGAUGGAUUAGUUUUAUUUACUUUCCCCAUGAUUUCUUUUCCCUUUUAUGUCACUUGUAAUUCCAAGGGGCUGUAGUGGGGUCUUUUAUGGGCCUUUGUAGUGCGCGGCUAAUGAUCAUGGGCUCAUUCAGCCGGGGUGGAAUUAUUGGUCCCCGCGCCAUGUAAGUCCGCUUGGAUACAUACAUCUUAGUACCCUCGUUCAGCUUGAACCUUUUAGGAGGACUCAAUGCCAAUUAUUCUUUCAUGUGAGCCCGAGGAACAUAAAGAAUAGCGUCUUCAGGGGGUAUUGCCCCUGCAUUGGUUUCCACCGUCUUUUAUACACUUUAAGGGGCGUAGUUACUCUUUUUCUUUCCAUUUUCUUGCUUUGCGCCCGCCCUUGGCUUCUUUUCAAUAUCAGCAAUAGCAAUGUUGGCUUUCAGAGCUGGGUCCAACUCUCUAUCUUAACAAAUCAUCUCAAUAACCUGUUAUUGUGAGCGGAAAUGGGUUAUUGGUCACAUUGGGGAUCUCUUCACCUUUCAGCACUACCCUCUUUUGCUCUAUUAAGUUUUCAAUUGCCCUUUUGAGAGUCCGACAGUCUUCAGUGUCAUGCCAUUCUACUCUUGAAUAGUAAGCACAUCAAGCACCGUGUCGGUAGGAGGGCGACUCCGGGUUUUUCCUGGGUACGGGUUGCAAUGAACCCAUUUGGACCAGUUUAGGAAACGGCUAGAGUGUGAUUCACAAAUAGGUGUGAAGCUUGUUCUUCUUUGUGGCUCCCGCGCACAAGUAUUGUAUGGAAAACUACUUUGUGGAGGAUAUGGAUUAUAUAGAGCUUAGUAAGGUGGGUUAUUUCUAGGAAGUAGAGCUCGAUUUUGGUUAAAGUGUUUCUUUCGCCGAGCGUAUGGUUGGGAAUUCAUCACUGCAUAAGGCUAAGGAGUCAUAUCAUAAGCCAUAUCCUGGUGAGACUUGAAGCCACCAUUGUCACUUCUUUUUUCUUCUUUCUAUUUGCUACAUCUCCUGACUCGCUCUGAAUUGCUUGGGACUUAGCUCUUAUAGCAGAUUGGCUCAAUAUACGACCUGUUUUCAGACCAUUCUCGACCAUCUCCCCAAUUUUGAUAGCCUGAGCAAACGGCUUUCCUAUUGCAGACAUCAUAUUCUGGAAGUAGUCAGCCUCUUGGGCUUGUAGAAAAAAACUGACCAUCUCGGUCUCAUCCAUCGGGGGCUUCACCCUAGCUCCUUGUUCAGGCCACUUAACAGCAUAUUCUGGUAACCUUUCCGAGGACUUCUUUUUAAUAUUUGAUAGGGAAUUCCUGUCUGGAGCUAUGUCUAUGUUGUAUUGGAAUUGCCUGACGUAAUCUCGAGCCAAAUCAUCCCAUAUGUACCAGUGAGAUAUGUCUUGAUCUAUAUACCACUCGGAUGCAUUGCCAACUAGAAAUUCUCUAAAAUAAGCCAUUAGGGGCUCUUCUUUUCCACCUGCCCCUCUCAAUUGAUUGCAAUACCUCUUGAGUGGGCUAUGGGAUACCCAUGCCCGUCAUACUUUUCGAACUUGGGGGGUCUUGAAACCGAUGGGCAAAUGAACAUGCAGGACAUACAUAGAUCAACGUAGGAUACACUCUUUUGGACACUUAAACCUUGUAUAUUCUUAAGGCUUUGUUCAAUGCUUCCCAUUUUCCAAGUAAUUUCCUAUGGCUCGGGAUUCUUCGUAGCUUUCUCUAGUACCGCGGUAAACUUGUACCGAGGUUGUUGAGGAUAAGAAUUGGUGGUAAAAUAGGCAGGGUUUGGUGAAAAUGAUGGUACUUAGAAAGCAAAGGAUGAAGGAUCAAAGCUUGGCAUGGACAAAGUUGGUUGUGUCGUAGCCGAGGUUAGUGGUGAGUUGAAUAUAUUAGAGGCCACUCCAAAAAUCACCUGGGGCGAACCUCAGAAGGUGUUUCGGUGAAGUGAGCUGAGAUGUUCGGGUAGCUUAUUGGGAUGUUGGAAGUUCCACUUGCUCUGGGAAGUAGCUCGGGGACACCAGGUAUGACACUUGGCAGCUCUCUACCAUUGGACCAAUUGUCCCGCAUUUCCAAUAUGCGGAGGAGCAGUGCCCAAUUCUCUUCAGCAGCCGAUGACUCUGAUGUUUUGAUAGGCGAUAUUGGGCUAUCCUAUGGGAUGGUAAUCGUUUGUGGAUGACCCUCUUAUGAUAUUUCGACACUUCCCUUGGAUCUUGUAAAGUAAGGCUGCGAAGCCUGGUUACCACAAAACCAACCACCUUAAGACAGAACCUAUUCACAAUAUCAGACACAACAAACUAGUUAGCUUGAGGCAAUUAGCACAUAGGAAUCGCAGGGGAUGUGAUGCACCUAUGUAGAUAAAUGUGUUUCUACAUAUUUCGCUACGGUUGUGUAUCUCAUCACAUAGUUCAAGGAAUAAAUGCAUCAAAUAAAUAAACACAAUUUUUUUCUUCAAAUUUCAUUUAAUAAUAAAGACUCCUAAUUUUCUAUUACAAUGACUCCAUCAUACUUUCUAGGAAUUGAAAAAUUAAAAAUAGACUCGAAACAUACUUUAAAACUGGAAGCUGAAAUACAGACUCGAAACAAAAAUCAAGAAUACAUAAGUACUUCUAAAACUGCUCCAGGGGCCUGUAGGACAUUAGUCGUUCUCGCCACGGGCCUACGUGUAAGCUCUCCUUGGAGGCGAUCCAAGUCAUCCAUUAUUUGGCAGACAAAGGUUAUCACUGCGGCGAAAAAGGUGGACCUAGUGAUGUCCUCACAUUCAUGGCAUUUCAUGACGAUGUAGUCGGCAAUUUCUCUAACCAUUUCCAUGAUUAUGCCUUUCGCUUGGAGUAAAUGCCCAAUUUGUUCAGACCUUGCUUCCAGAACUUGGGUAUUGUGAUGGGCUUGACCCUGCAACUGUUGCAUAUCCUCUUCUAGCCAAGCCAUCAGUGCAUAACAAUGUUCCUUCUCUACUUUAAAGUUCUUUGCCUGUUUAGCCAUUUCAUUCUCGAGGGUGGUUUGCUUUUUUUUCUUUGUUGGUAGAAAUCCACUGAUUGUCCAGUUCAUUAGGGAGUGUUUUUUGGAGUNNNNNNNNNNNNNNNNNNNNNNNNNNNNNNNNNNNNNNNNNNNNNNNNNNNNNNNNNNNNNNNNNNNNNNNNNNNNNNNNNNNNNNNNNNNNNNNNNNNNNNNNNNNNNNNNNNNNNNNNNNNNNNNNNNNNNNNNNNNNNNNNNNNNNNNNNNNNNNNNNNNNNNNNNNNNNNNNNNNNNNNNNNNNNNNNNNNNNNNNNNNNNNNNNNNNNNNNNNNNNNNNNNNNNNNNNNNNNNNNNNNNNNNNNNNNNNNNNNNNNNNNNNNNNNNNNNNNNNNNNNNNNNNNNNNNNNNNNNNNNNNNNNNNNNNNNNNNNNNNNNNNNNNNNNNNNNNNNNNNNNNNNNNNNNNNNNNNNNNNNNNNNNNNNNNNNNNNNNNNNNNNNNNNNNNNNNNNNNNNNNNNNNNNNNNNNNNNNNNNNNNNNNNNNNNNNNNNNNNNNNNNNNNNNNNNNNNNNNNNNNNNNNNNNNNNNNNNNNNNNNNNNNNNNNNNNNNNNNNNNNNNNNNNNNNNNNNNNNNNNNNNNNNNNNNNNNNNNNNNNNNNNNNNNNNNNNNNNNNNNNNNNNNNNNNNNNNNNNNNNNNNNNNNNNNNNNNNNNNNNNNNNNNNNNNNNNNNNNNNNNNNNNNNNNNNNNNNNNNNNNNNNNNNNNNNNNNNNNNNNNNNNNNNNNNNNNNUUCUUCAUUAUCUCAGUUGAAGUACUGAGCCUCCCGAUACCGGGAGGCUCAGUACUUCAACUAGUCUCCAUGUUCCUCGAAUGGAUCUCUUAGUUGUUAAGAAGAGUUAUCACACAAUCGCUUGAAAAAAUAUUUUUUUUGUCCAACUAGUAGUAAUUUCUAUUAGGUUCCACAUUUUAUCUUUCUACAACCCAUUCUGGCAUAUUGAACUCUUAGACCCUUGUAUAAAACUCCUCUAUGCAUUUUUCCCCAUCGACCCAUAGUUCAUGUACUGAGGAUGAUGGCAUAGAUGCUCAAUCAUUUACAUUUGUAGCAACAAGUUGCACCCUUCGAAAAAUUCUACUAUGACUUUGCAGUCUGUGAGAGCUCGGAAUAUUUCAGACACAUCAUCGGAGCGAAGGUGCUUUUGGCAUUAGUAAGCAAAGUGUUGAUGACCCCGACUAUACGUAUAUCGAUAUUCCUGUCCUUCCUGGGAAACACUAGAAGACCCAAAAAUACCACCAUGAAAGCGAACCAUCUAUGCUGUUCACGUUUUAGCCGAUUCCCAUUGCUACAAAUUAUGCUCUCCGGUUUUCAAAUCCCCUUAUGUUUUUGUAAUACUAAUAAAUGAACUGUGGAGUAGAAAACCAAACCGCCAAAUCUGCAUAUUGGACCACCCUGCUUAUUUUCAGUAAAUCCAGAAACUUAUGAGGGGUGACAACCCUUGGGGCGACCAGGUAUUUAUAUCUUAAAGCUUCAGUACUCCCAACAUAACCGGCUAUCUCUUCAAAAGUGGGUGUGAGUUCAAAGUUCGAGAAAUGAAACACGUCGUAAGCUUGAUCCCAAAAUGUAACCAGUGCUUUUAUUAUGUCUCCUCUAGGCCUGAUCUUCAAUAACCUAGUGAGACCCUCCAAGUGAUGGUUGACCACAUCUCAUCCUGAUUUAGCUAGACCUUCCCACCACAUGUACAGUUCCAAAAGAAUCUUGGUCAUGACCUUCAUUGGCAAGUUUUGAUUUGUGCUCAUUCUACACAUUUAAAUUAAGGUGAUUGGUUUAAAAUAAAGUAAAUUUUAUAAAAGAGGUCAAUUUUGCAAAAAAUUAAAGGACACAACUACUUUUGCAAAUAAGUCCCUUCAGCACUUCGAAAAGGAGGACAUUAGUGUUGUGCUUGCUAGGUAGCAAAAAAUUGACAAAGAAACCUGUGGUGGCUAUUCUUACAAAAAAAACUUCCGACGCCCCUUCGGAGCGUUUGGCUUAUAUAGUAAAAAACGGCGUUACCCAAAUUAUUUGACAACAAAUGAAGAUAUCUUCAAAUUUUGGGUUAUUUUUGCAAAAGUAGGGCUGGACUCGAUGAGGGUUGCCUACGUAUCCCGUAUCCAGUGAGAAUCAAACCCGCAUAGUUCGGUCAGUUUUGAAAUAAUGAAAUGUUUUAAAACCAUUUUCCUUUCCCUUUUCCUGUUCUCUCUUUUUCUUUCAAAAUUUCGGCACAGUUUCAACAUAUUUUGGACAACAGGUUUUUCAAAGGCGGGUAAUUAUCUCUCUCAUACAUCAAUUUUAUUUUUUCCAAUUUCCUCCCUAUUCUAGCAACUGGUUAACAUGCAAAGUGAAGUAAAUAAUUGUACAAGUAGCACGUAAAAUGCAUCAGGAUGGUCUUUUGAUUCUGGGGUCCACCUGUCCUAGACGAACGCAACCCCUAUGUUGAGUCUCCAAAGUCAAAUGCACAUGAUGCAAACAAAUGUUCCUACUAGGGAUCCGACAUGAGGCUGAGUUAUUCUAAGUUUAAAACCUGGGUAUAUUUUUUUAGACAUGGUGUACCCGAGUGGACACUCGGGCCGAGAGGUCUACGUAUCGGGAACAAAAAGGCCAUCCGGAUAUGUAACUUGUCAGAUCAUCUUUCUAACCUAAGGUAUUGCACUAAUAGAAAGAGGAGUCACACCAGUGUGCAUAUCCUCGAAGAUGAGAAGAGAGGGGUUUCGUAACAAUUUUAUAUAAAAUCUAAAUAAUAUCAAAGUGAUAAAAAGCGACAUUUAGCACAUUAGGCCCAAACAUGUGAUAGAAAUCAGAUAAUAAAUAAAAGCCAAAUAUAACAGUUAUUCUAAGCUCGAAUUCUUGAAUUCUGAACCGAAGUUCCGGGUUUUGCUCCCCAACGGAGUCGUCAGAGCUGUCACAUCUCCUUUUUACACACCCCAGGAAGGGGGUAUACAAGGGAGUUUUUCUAAUAAAAGUGACAUUAUUCAAAAUGAGAUUAUUUUAUUUAUUUUCGGAGUUGCCACUUGGAAUAAUUAAUUUGGUGUCUCAAGUCACAUUUUUCUUUUUAAUCCCAAAUCGAGGAAAAUUUUUACUUUAUAAGUCUGCGAACCAGAAAUUCUAAGUAAGGAAUUAUGCUAACACGGGAGAAGGUGUUAGGUAUUUCCGAGUUUCAAAGUUCUAGAACGGUCUUUUUAACUAUUAAUAAUUGGCCUAUUAUCUGAUAUACUAUACGUAUUAAAACUAUGUGCAUUUUUACAACUUUUAAACCGCUUUUACUUUUUAAGAAAAUUAAAUGCUAUUUAAGACACGUCUUAAACCACGCUACAUGAAAUGCAUCCGUAGUUUGCGACAUAUUUUAUUUAACAUUGUUAAAAAUUAAAGUUGAGUCAAAUGAAAUGUACACCCGGAUUUUAGCAAUUACAAAUCAUAACUAAGUCACGGGAACCAUACCUGCAAUCAUGAUAAUUUAAAGUAACAUGCCUAAAGCAACUAUGAAGAUUCAUUUUUUAAUUACAACAUUUGUGAGGGCCAUGAAUGAUUUAAUUUAUAGAUGGCGUGCCUCAAACCUUUUCUACAUGUAUUAGCUCUUGACCUAAUUUUAUGAGGGCCACGAAUUAUAGUUUUUGUUCGAUAUGUCACACCUUAACUUAUUGCCUUUAUUAGAGGAAAAUUAUACUUAUUUGGAAUAUCUAAAUUUAAAUUAGUUCUUCUAGAAAAGGAUUUAGGCCUAGGCGUUCCUUACUGGGUUAAAUCUAAAAAGUGAGUUCAGCUUUAAAAGGACUGUAUUUGGGCCAAAGUUUGGCCCCGCAGAGAAGGAUGCAAGGACUCUUGUCCUUGUUGGAAUUUUAAAAGUGUCUGCCCAUAUUGAGCAUCAGGCAGACUCAGUUGUGAAUAUCUACCGAUUGGGCAUAUCUACCUCUACAUUUCAACCCAACCUUACACUAAGCAUAUUUAUUGGCAUCACUUUUAAAAACAAGACAAUCAGAAUUGGAACAAUAUAAUUUUGAGUCUAAAAUCAAACGUAUUAACAUGUUUAGUAAGACAUACAUUUAUGUUGUAAAUUACAAUAGAAGAUUUUUAGAACUAAGGAUCAAAUUACCGGGUUUAAUGUCCAGGCCUACAUGCAUGGGCCUAGACCUGUUUAGGUGGUUCCUAGAUUUGGGACAUGUUGCAAGUCUAGCCCAAUUCACAUGUUGGACUGUACUAAAAAAAACAUAUGCUAUAGACUUAUAACUAAGAAUCAAAAAUAGUUAAAUCUUGAAUUUAAAACACUCUAAUAGUCUAUUUACUUAACAAAAGUCCAUAAAUUUACAAAGCAUUUCUAAAUAAAUCAAAUAUGUCUAAAGGAAAGGGAGAGACCUAAUUAGGUGGUUCCUAGAUUUGGGACAUGUUGCAAGUCUAGCCCAAUUCACUUGUUGGACUGUACUAAAAAAACCAUAUGCUAUAGACUUAAAACUAAGAAUCGAAAAUAGUUAAAUCUUGAAUUUAAAACACUCUAAUAGUUUAUUUACUUAACAAAAGUCCAUAAAUUUACAAAGCAUUUCUAAAUACAUCAAAUAUGUCUAAAGGAAUGGGAAAGGAUAGUUAAAGUAAGGGUGGAAUUCUUACUAACUCUAACUCUUCCAAAAUACUUUGAAUUAGUUUAAGUUUUGCAAGAAAAAUCAACUAUGGAGCUGUACCUUACAAGCUAAAACUUAGCUCCCAACUCUGAGGCUUCCUACUACGAAACCAACCUUGGUCAAUUCAUACUUUCAUGAAUCUGACCAUGUUUAAAGGUUAGGUUCACGGAAAUGCUUUCAGAUACAUAAACCUACUAUAUUAUCAAACCAAACUCAAACAAAUAAUGUAAACACAAAAGAAACAAAAUAGUGUGAUUCAUGGGUUUGACCAUAUUAAGAAUUAAACUCAUGAACCAACAAGGGCUUCAAACUCUAAAACAUGAUAUGCUUCCAGAAUGAACCAAAGAGAAGGAGAAUAGUUUAAUCCAUGAUUCUGACCAUGUAAAGGCUCAACGAAUAAAUCAAGUUUCAAAUAUGGGGAUCUAACAUGCUACAUGACCAAUGCAACAAAAGAGAUGUAUAUAUCAACUAAAGUAAACAAACAACCAAUGCUAGACUCAUGCAAGGAAACAAAAAUUGAUGAUAUAAACCAAAGAGAUAAAGGAUCACUCAUUUAAUAAAAAGGAAAAUUUUCAAUAUGGUUGCAACUUCAGUGAUAAAUCAUAGCAAGAAAAUACGGAUAUGCACCAUUAGCAAGAAAGAACAACUUGGAUUUAUCUUUAAACUUCAUUUACAAACAUUCAAGCAUGGAAGAAAAUAUGACCUUGAACGAUAAAUAUAAGAUGAAAGAAAACUGCUGAAACUUCAGAAGUAAGGAAACAGCAGCUAGUAAACUAAUAUAGCUACAAUAAAUCAAAUAGGUCCCAAAAUUUGAACCAAAUCCAAUCAGCUUUUAAACCAGAAUACCAGACAAAAAACCAAAGAAAAUCCUCUAUUUCAAUCCAUUUUUAGCUUGUGAAAAUUAAAAGGAAGAAGUUUUGAAAUUUUCUAAGAUUUCUGAAAUCUAGUUUUUUUCAGAAAGAAAAGAGAACUUUUUUUUGCAGUAAAAAUAAUGUUGAACAUUACUCUAUGAAUGAAGGGAAUGUUUCCCUUUUAUAGAAUGUCCAAAAGGCAUCAAAAGAAGAAUAUUCUAACCGAAAAUUUCUAAAACUAAGGAUAGUACAAUAUCUUUCAUAGUUGUCCGUCCUUUUUCUUAUCCAUAACCAGUAUUUUUGCUAAGAUAGGGAAAAAACCUUCUGAUUUUAGCUUAUGUAAAAGUCUAUUUUAAUCCUUUUAAUUACUGUCUAUUUCAACUUUGUCCUACGUUCUUUUAUUUUAAUUAAUUACAAACAUUCAACAAAGUAACUACCUAAUGAUAUUGCAAUUCAUUAACCUAAAGUUUAAAUGGUUGUUCUGAGGCUCAAACCUAAGCCUAACACCAAUAAAACUUAAGUAAUGAAAAUAUAUAGGCAAUCAAACUCAAAUUCACAAAGUUACCGGUAUCUAGCAUGCUCAGGCCAAGGAAAUCCAUAAUCAAAGUUAAGUUACAUUCAAAAUAAUAAAAAAAGAGAAUGAAUUCAGCUAAAGCAAAAGUAAGCACGAAUUGGCUAAAAUAGGCUAUUGAUUAACCUUUUCACAGAACUUGCAAAAACAACCAAACUAAACAAAAUAAAAGCAAGAAUUAAAAAUAAAGGGAGAAACAUGAAUAGGCAAAUUAUAAGAAAACAAAAACCUAAUCAUUUUAAUCUAACAUUCUGGACCCAUGCAACAUUGAAAUCCUAGAACAUACAAUUAAAUAAGCUAAUAGACAGAACAGAAGACCUAAAUUAUGUGGCUAAAUCAAGCAAUUAACAGAAAAAGGGGGAAAUAACAAAAAACCAAGAGGAAAUUGAAGAAUAAUAAUAAAAUGUUGUAAGAAGUUACCUACUGCUUAAUUCUUUCCAAGAUGAACACUGAACCAACUUCAAAUUCUGACCCCAAAUUUCGGGGUACAAAUAAACUUUAGACAACCAUCAAUCUACUGCUCUUACUAAGAGCAGUGAACUCAUGGAAGUCUUGGGUUCAAAACCCCAAAAACUGCCGGAAUUUUGGAAGUAAAAGACAAAUUACGGUUUCGAAAUCUUAGAUUUAAAAUUUGACGAGGUUGGGGCUGAUUCGAAGGUUGCUAUGGUGGUUUAGAGUUCAGAGGGGUGUCGGGGUCAUGGGGUGUGAAUUUAGAUCAUUUGGAACACUUAGGGUUUUGAGGCAUCGAUCUUAUAUUUAAGAUUCGAACUUUUUGGAAACGAUUCGAGGAAAAUGGAUUAGAGAUGUGGAAAGAGGAGGUGACGAAGGUUCUGGGGUGCUAAAUUGGGGAGGUUCGGAGGUGGUCCGCCGCCGUGAGCCGAUUUUCGGCCGGCAAACCAUGGUGGAGUAAAUGAGGGCGGCUAAGGUUUCAGUUGGGUUUGGGCAUUAGAGACGAAUAAAGGGAAUGGAAUUGGGGGGGUAGGAGUUUCGGACAGUUAAAUAAUAAGUAAGAGAUUAGUUCCGAGCCGUUAGAUUACCAAGAUCCAACGGCUAUGAUAAAC
This 17386-nucleotide long non-coding RNA is filed under the name Nicotiana benthamiana. RNAcentral describes it as "long non-coding RNA (NBEN_LNC039364)". The record is from RNAcentral. Lineage: Eukaryota; Viridiplantae; Streptophyta; Magnoliopsida; Solanales; Solanaceae.